UUACCUUUAAGGUAUACCAAUAAAUGUUGUGAUAUCAAAUAUACCUCUUGAGUUUUCAUCCAUUGCAUUACUUUAUGAUGAUACCAUCUCUUCUAUUUUUCCGUAUAGAAAUUCUCCAAUGAAAUUACAACGGCUGAAUCGGCGCCAGAUAGACCACAACAAUGAAAACCCGCCUGAACUUGAACAGAAAAUACAGCGGCUUGUCUUCUGGCUUCUUUC
RNAcentral lists this long non-coding RNA (219 nucleotides) under Nicotiana benthamiana. RNAcentral describes it as "long non-coding RNA (NBEN_LNC000598)". Lineage: Eukaryota; Viridiplantae; Streptophyta; Magnoliopsida; Solanales; Solanaceae. The record is from RNAcentral.